RNAcentral lists this signal recognition particle RNA (281 nucleotides) under Carlito syrichta (Philippine tarsier). RNAcentral's name for it is "Metazoan signal recognition particle RNA (ENSTSYG00000030116.1)". It matches the Rfam family "Metazoan signal recognition particle RNA". From Rfam's summary of the family: The signal recognition particle (SRP) is a universally conserved ribonucleoprotein. It is involved in the co-translational targeting of proteins to membranes. The record is from RNAcentral. Lineage: Eukaryota; Metazoa; Chordata; Mammalia; Primates; Tarsiidae.
GCUGAGCAUGGUGGUAUGUGCCUGUAUUUACAGCUACUUGGGAGGUUGAGGCCAGAGGAUCACUUGAGCCCAGGAGUUCUGGGCUGUAGUGUGCUAUGCUGAUGUUGUAUCUACACUAAGUAUGAUGACCUCCUGGUAGCUAGGGACCACUGGUUUGCCUAACGAGGGAUGAACUGGCCCAGGUCAGAAAUGGAGCAGGUAAAAAUGCCUGUGCUGAUCAGAUCGUGCCUGUAAAUAGUUCAAGCACUCCAGUCUGGGCAACAUAGUGAGACCCUGUCUCU